This 72-nucleotide transfer RNA is filed under the name Magnetovibrio sp. RNAcentral describes it as "tRNA-Thr". It matches the Rfam family "tRNA". From Rfam's summary of the family: Transfer RNA (tRNA) molecules are approximately 80 nucleotides in length. Lineage: Bacteria; Pseudomonadati; Pseudomonadota; Alphaproteobacteria; Rhodospirillales; Magnetovibrionaceae. The record is from RNAcentral.
GCCUUCAUAGCUCAGGGGUAGAGCACUCGCCUUGUAAGCGAAAGGUCCGUGGUUCAAAUCCGCGUGGGGGCU